GUUGUAUGGUUAAGUGACUAAGCGUACACGGUGGAUGCCUUGGCAGUCAGAGGCGAUGAAAGACGUAGUAACUUGCGAUAAGCCCAGAUUAGGUAGUAACAACCAUUUGAGUCUGGGAUUUCUGAAUGGGGAAACCCACGUGCAUAAGCACGUAUCCUUACCUGAAUACAUAGGGUAAGGAGGCGAACCGGGGGAACUGAAACAUCUAAGUACCCCGAGGAAAAGAAAUCAACCGAGAUUCCGAAAGUAGCGGCGAGCGAAAUUGGACUAGCCCUUAAGCUUUACACGCGUUAGACGAACGGUCUGGAAAGUCCGACGAUACAGGGUGAUAGUCCCGUAGUUGACGACGUGUGUUCAGUGAAAUCGAGUAGGGCGGGACACGUGAUAUCCUGUCUGAAUAUGGGGGGACCAUCCUCCAAGGCUAAAUACUACUGACUGACCGAUAGUGAACCAGUACCGUGAGGGAAAGGCGAAAAGAACCCCUGUGAGGGGAGUGAAAUAGAACCUGAAACCGUGUACGUACAAGCAGUAGGAGCAGGCUUUGUCCUGUGACUGCGUACCUUUUGUAUAAUGGGUCAGCGACUUAUAUUCAGUGGCAAGGUUAACCAUCUAGGGGAGCCGUAGGGAAACCGAGUCUUAACUGGGCGUUCAGUCUCUGGAUAUAGACCCGAAACCAGGUGAUCUAGCCAUGGGCAGGUUGAAGGUUGAGUAACAUCAACUGGAGGACCGAACCGACUAAUGUUGAAAAAUUAGCGGAUGACUUGUGGCUAGGGGUGAAAGGCCAAUCAAACCUGGAGAUAGCUGGUUCUCCCCGAAAGCUAUUUAGGUAGCGCCUCGGACGAAUACUACUGGGGGUAGAGCACUGUUAAG
Molecule: ribosomal RNA, 870 nt
Filed under: Vibrio parahaemolyticus
Lineage: Bacteria; Pseudomonadati; Pseudomonadota; Gammaproteobacteria; Vibrionales; Vibrionaceae
Description: partial 23S ribosomal RNA
Rfam family: Bacterial large subunit ribosomal RNA
Source: RNAcentral